AGAGUUUGAUCAUGGCUCAGAGCGAACGCUGGCGGCAGGCCUAACACAUGCAAGUCGAGCGCCCCGCAAGGGGAGCGGCAGACGGGAGAGUAACACGUGGGAACGUACCCUUCGGUUCGGAACAACCCAGGGAAACUUGGGCUAAUACCGGAUACGUCCGUAAGGAGAAAGAUUCAUCGCCGAGGGAUCGGCCCGCGUCUGAUUAGCUAGUUGGUGAGGUAAUGGCUCACCAAGGCGACGAUCAGUAGCUGGUCUGAGAGGAUGAUCAGCCUCACUGGGACUGAGACACGGCCCAGACUCCUACGGGAGGCAGCAGUGGGGAAUAUUGGACAAUGGGCGCAAGCCUGAUCCAGCCAUGCCGCGUGGGUGAUGAAGGCCCUAGGGUUGUAAAGCCCUUUCGGCGGGGAAGAUAAUGACGGUACCCGCAGAAGAAGCCCCGGCUAACUUCGUGCCAGCAGCCGCGGUAAUACGAAGGGGGCUAGCGUUGCUCGGAAUCACUGGGCGUAAAGCGCACGUAGGCGGAUCGCUAAGUCAGGGGUGAAAUCCUGGAGCUCAACUCCAGAACUGCCUUUGAUACUGGCAAUCUUGAGUCCGGGAGAGGUGAGUGGAACUGCGAGUGUAGAGGUGAAAUUCGUAGAUAUUCGCAAGAACACCAGUGGCGAAGGCGGCUCACUGGCCCGGUACUGACGCUGAGGUGCGAAAGCGUGGGGGAGCAAACAGGAUUAGAUACCCUGGUAGUCCACGCCGUAAACGAUGGAUGCUAGCCGUUGGCGGGUUUACCCGUCAGUGGCGCAGCUAACGCAUUAAGCAUCCCGCCUGGGGAGUACGGUCGCAAGAUUAAAACUCAAAGGAAUUGACGGGGGCCCGCACAAGCGGUGGAGCAUGUGGUUUCAAUUCGAAGCAACGCGCAG
This 911-nucleotide ribosomal RNA is filed under the name uncultured bacterium. Its description in RNAcentral is "bacterial SSU rRNA". It matches the Rfam family "Bacterial small subunit ribosomal RNA", at positions 8 to 966 of the family's 1533-position model. The record is from RNAcentral.